CCCGAUUCACACCCUUAUUUCAAAUUUCAAAGAUGCCUGUGAUAGUUUUGGAACUGAUAAGGUAGGUAUAACCAUCCGAUCUUGAGAAUUUUGAUCGAAAAUCCUACCACAUCAUACCUAAAUCGGCCACAUAAUCUACCUAAAACCAUCUUCCAACCUUUGCCUACAAAACUUCCUCUAGGGGACCCUCUAAGGUACACGCGCAAACAGUCUCUU
This 216-nucleotide long non-coding RNA is filed under the name Elaeis guineensis (African oil palm). RNAcentral describes it as "long non-coding RNA (EGUI_LNC042968)". Lineage: Eukaryota; Viridiplantae; Streptophyta; Magnoliopsida; Arecales; Arecaceae. The record is from RNAcentral.